Molecule: long non-coding RNA, 7638 nt
Filed under: Selaginella moellendorffii
Lineage: Eukaryota; Viridiplantae; Streptophyta; Lycopodiopsida; Selaginellales; Selaginellaceae
Description: long non-coding RNA (SMOE_LNC001481)
Source: RNAcentral
UUUUACAUUAUUAUGGUUUCAGAUGUUUGAACCGAGCAUUAAAGGGAAAAUACAACACAAGUACCUGCUUCAUCCGGUUGCUGGCCUGAUGAAGUAUCACCGGUGUGGAAAGAGAGAGAAAAGGGAUUCUAAAACACCUUUUCAGAAGGCUUCUCUCGUUUUGGAUCAAGUGUCUAUUGCUGUGUCUGAGGUUGGUUUCUCUAAAUGCUACACUUGGGUUAACUUUCAUUCUGUUUUAGGAUCAAUAUCGGGAUGGUAUUCAACUGUUGGAGGGUGUUUCACGGUACAGGAUACGAAUGGAGUUCUCUCUCUUCAGACCUAUGAUACCCGUGUUGGUAGAUGCUAAGGCAUGGUGGCGCUAUGCUGGUCGUGCAGUAACGCAGCAGCAGAGAAAGUCAAGGUUCGUUUUGAUAUUUAACCGAGUAUGCUAAAGCAAAUUUUUGCAGGUGUAACUUCUCUUGGGAAAAUCUGUCUCGAGCAUCAGGAUUACGAAAGAAAUAUGUGGAUCUUUAUGUUAGCGGGCUCCAGCAGGGCAAGUUUGACAAUUUUGAAAUAAGGCAAAUCGACCGGGAGCUAGACGUAGAAGUUAAUCUACUUUGGAGGUCGGUAGUUUGUGUAUGCUUUCUGUUAGUUGAUGGAGAAGUGGUGGCUGCAGAAUGCUUGCCCAUGCAAAAGUUGAGACGGCAAAGUUAAAAGAGGCAGCCGCGGCCCGGGAAAAGUCCAGGAAAAGCACCUGGUGGCCAUUUGGCGGGUAUUGUGGCAUAUGUUUUCAUUUGUUUUACAUUAAUCGCUUGCUAUGCAGGAGCGGCGCUGGUCCAAGGGCCUCAGUUGCCCAAGGCCCUGAAACGGAAGCGGCCCCAGCGCAACUUACAAAGGAAGAAUGGAAUAAGAUUAACGAGCUUCUAAGCUAUCAACCGGGGCAAGACUAUCCGCUGCUUUCUACUCAAGAGCCACAGAACAUGCUGCAAACAAUGCUCGACGUGACCAUAAAACAGAGCUUGGCGUGCAUAAAAGACAGCACCGAUUUGGUCAUAUUAUGUGGGACUUUCUCCAAUUUAAACGUUUCUCUCAAGCUGUUCCCGAAAACGUUCUUCUGCGACACUAAGUUGACGUACUAUGGCCUUUCAUCUCCAGAGGGGCCUCUCGUUUCGGUAAGCUGAAUGGAAUUUGCAUGUCUUAAGAUGAUAAUAUCUGUCUGGUUUGACAGAGCGUGAGUAGAGAGGGAAGAGCACAAGCGUUGGAUUUGACGUUUGUGUAUGUUCCUUUCGAAGAACAUUUGGAUUGGAAGCUGUCUGUCGCGAUGUCAUCAUGCUAUGUGACGGUAACGUUUUGUGUUGAAAGAGUUCAUCCCAGCUUACAUAAUGCGUGCAGGUUUGGAGAUCCAGUUUUGACAGGGUCAUGCACUUUAUGAAAUCUGGCCAAGCUAUGAGCCCGACAGUGGCUUUGGAAACUGCUGUCGCUUUGCAGGUAUGAGGCUCCGUAGCAAAAAUAUAUGUUACUCAUUUCACAGUGCAUGCAUGCCAGACAAAGCUAGAAGAGGUAACGAGGCGUGCUCAAGAACGGAUACUAUCUCAACUAGAGAAACAGAGAAGGUAUUCAAAAGUUUAUGCUACUCUUUUUGGCUUGACUUUUUCUUGCAUGCAGGUUCUCUAUAGAUAUUGAUCUUGACGCUCCAAAAGUCUUAAUUCCUGCACUCAAAGAUGAAGGAAUUGGAAAGAAAAGCCAAUUGUUGGUAGACUUGGGACAUUUUAAUCUUCGAACACUGGUACGUGCAUAAGAUGCAUCUAAAACUUACAACAUCCUUCUUCAGGGGAAUGACGACGUUGAGUUCCUGAAACGAAGUCGCUACACUAAACUUCAUGUAUCUGGACGGGAUAUAUCGGCUUUUCUUUGUUGAUGGUGAUUUCGAAUGGGCUCACUUUCCUGCGCUGGCCACAGAUGCUUGUGACAACGCAUAUUUAAUCUUUCCUGUACUUGACCGUUGUGGGAUGUCGAUUAUGCUACAUAUGGUGAUGCUAGUUACGACAUAGUUUGUGGCUAUUGACUUUAUGUUCCAGGCUCAAUAUGAAGAUUUGAAUUGGCCUUCAACAUGCGUUGCAAUUGAAGUUCCUCGCCUUGGUAUCCAUUUUUCUCCUACAAGAUACCUUAGGCUGCUCUAUCUUCUGCACGCUCUGGAGUCGGCUGACCGGUCCAGCUCCCAGCCGAACGCUUUAUCUUGGCAACCAUCAGAGGCAGCUGGAGAUGCACGAGUGCUUAAAUUGUUACUUUCCUCGCCCAUCAGCGUCUAAGCAUCACUCAUUCUGCAGGGAAUUGGUAAUAUUACUGCAGAAUGGCAGCCUUGUUGGAUUGCAUUGGCAGGGCCAUACCUGUACGUUCUAGAGGCAUAAGACUCAAAGAACAGCCCACAUCAAUGCAUAAGCUCUCCUCAAAGGACAGGAGGAAAGCCUCCUCUACCCUGGAAAUCCCAAGCUUUUUUGGAGAAUAUCACACUCUAGAGUCUCUACUGCAAUGAAAGGCCCAUGACAUAUUUGAAACUCUCGCUUAAGCAUCUUGCAUUGGAGAUUUCCCUUGUGGCCAGAGAUGAGUGCAGUGAUGUUGUGAGGUUUAUUUAUGAUGCACUUGCACUGGACACACUUCUUCCAGUAAAAUCUGAACCACAUGACGUACUCUAGUCUAGAUUCACAUGCUUCUUGUCGAAAAAUGAACAAGGUUAUGAGUAAGUGAUUUGCUAGUCAUUAUUGAUCAAAGUGAUUUUGAAAAAAUGCUUUGAAUGUGGAGUAGUUAACUAUGUUUGCCUCCAAAAGAGUUUUUUUCCAUGUUACUUGGCCAAUGAGUGAUUGCAAAAAGUUGUAAAGCUUGUAAUCAUCCUUGCCAAUGCUAUUUGAUGGACAAUAUUGUUCAAAGUGAGUGAUAUAUGUUUUGGCAAAGAUGUCACCAUUGCUAAAUAAGUAUGGCAAGUUAAUGCCUUGCUAUAAAAUAUGGAUGUGCAUGGGGAGAACCAUCAAUGGUAGACUCUUUCACUUAGUAUCUAUGGUAAACAAUGCUUCUUUCUUGCUAGAAAGAGCAUUUUGGUAAUCUAGCUUGCAUAGAAGGUGUGAAAACAUCCCUAUAUCCUAUGCAUUAUAUGAAAGAUUACUAGCUGCCAUCUCUGGCUUAAACAAGUUUGAACUAGCAUAAAGUGUCUAAUAUGUAGUAAAUGCAUUAAAGAAUUUUAAUUUGUGUGAGAAUAAAAUGUCCAAAAUGGGAUAGUUCCAAAUAAAUAAGCAAACUACUGUGGAUUUCCCCUAACCAAGAUUGUUGUCCUUUUGCAAAUCUCAAUUCCUCAUAAAGAAAAGAGAAAUUUAGCUAUAAAAUUGAAGAAAGAUAUGAAAGAUAUCAUGAAAGAAUAUAGAUAUAGGAUAUCACCUAAAAACAAUGGAAAAAAAAACAAAGAAAACAAGCUAUAACACUCAAAAUGUCUCAAAGUGAAUAUAAUUUGAUAGAAAUCUCUCAAACUCUGGCUACAAAAUUUGAUAUAGACUCAUUAAAAAAACUUAUAUUUAAAUAAAGAGAAUGAGAUUAAAAAGAUGGAGCUAAAACACCAAAAUGCCUAUAGAAAACUGAUUUAAACAUUAAAUUUAUAACUCAUAUAAUUAUGGGAUAAGAUUUGGAUAUAUUAUUAUUAUGAAUCUUUGGAACCUUGAGGAUCCAUUUAGACACUUUCCCCAUCUCAACACACACAUUUUGAGUCUUCAAGUGAUAAAUAUGUUAAAGGCUAUAUUAUCAAAUAAUUUCCCCUUUUUUAAUUGGUUGGUGAAAUUUUUUUUGCUACCUUGGAGUUAGAAAAUAUAUGGUGCUUGCUUCACUUAGAUUAGGAUCAACUUAUUGUAGUUAGUGAUGAAGCACAAGUGAAAGAUCAUGAGAGGGAGACAAGUGGGAGAUUAUUUCAAGUUUGAUGAUUUACAAAUGAAAAAAGUCUAUAUUAAUGGGAAUAAUAGUAUAUAGAUCCUUGAAUUAAAUUUAUUUUUAUUAAAUAAUUGCCUUUUCUCCAGUAGACUUAAAUAAAAUAUGUUACAUUUGGUUAGCAUGUGUUGAAAGGGGCACAAGGAAACAGAAGGGGCACAACAUUCAUACAUAGGAGAAAAAAUAUUUAAAAAAAGAGGGGCACAUAGGAGAAAUAUAAAGUGGAAAAAAAUAUUAAAAAAAAGAGAUAAAAAGAGAGGAAGAAGUUACCAAGAAGAGAGAAAAAAUAUUAAAAAAAGAGGAGGAAGACUUUUAAAGAGGAUAAAAAAUAUUAAAAACGAAGGAGAGAGGAAAAGGCCUAUGGCAGAGGAGACAAGAAAACAUAGUAGAGUGGGGAAAUAUAAUAUAGUUGAGAGCUUAAUACGUGCUAGCUAUGCCCACCGUUAGAUCUUGAUAUGUCUAAUCCAACAGAGGAGAGGACAGAGGAGAAAAAUUGUAUAAAUAAACUCCUAUGGCAAGCGAGACAAGAGUGGGAAAAUAUAAUAUAGUCGAGAGCUCAAUACGUGUUAGCUGCACCCGCCGUUAAAUCUCGUUAUGUUUAAUCCAACGGAGGAGAGGACAGAGGAGAAAAAUUGUAUAAAUAGACUUCGUUUGCAAGGAGGUGGAAACUGAUCAAAAUGCAGCGAUCCAAACUCCAGGCUCCAGUCGCCUCUGCGGCAUUACUGCUGGUGCUAGCACUGCUGCGGCGCUAUGCAUUUCGCCAGGGAUCACCAACAAUGUCAUCGGAGCUCUCAACUUCUUUCUAUGCCAGCACUUGUCCCGAUCUCCCUCAGAUCGUGAGAAGUGUGAUUCACUCUGAAUUUUCCAACGACAGUCGAUCUGCUGCGUCGAUCCUCAAGCUCCACUUCCGAGAUUGCUUCUCUCGAGUAAGUCAGAAAUUAAAAUAGCGUUACUCAUUUAUGGCUGCCAGGGCUGCGACGGAUCGCUGCUCCUCCAGCGAGGAGAUGGGCGCUCCGCCAAGGGACUCAAAAUCAUCAACAACGUCAAGCGCGCCGUGGAGACUUCAUGCCCGGCAACAGUAUCGUGCGCGGACAUUCUUGCGCUGAGCGCCCGGGAAUCCGUCAUAGCCGUGAGUGAGAAUCUCCAUCGCGGCUUGAGUUGAUCAUUCUCUUUCGACUUUGCAGCUGGGCGGCCCUUCAUGGACAGUAGAAUUUGGCCGACGGGACAGUCCUGCGACCGUCGCCGCCGCAAUGGAGGCCAUUCCCAGCCCAAACCUCACUGCAACGCAGCUCAUCGAGAGCUUCCAAAGGCGGGGUCUUUCCAAGCGUGAUCUCGUAGCGCUUUCAGGAGGCCACUCCAUCGGCCAGGCCCAGUGCUCUGCAUUUAGCGCACGCCUCUUCAAUGGAACCCCAGGAGAUAGCAUCGAUCGGGCCUUCAAAUCUCGACUCGAGAAGAAUUGCCCUCCAACAGCCCCAGACAGAUUGACCAAUUUGGAUCCAUCCCCCACCACCUUCGACAACUUGUACUUUCGAGCUCUCCUGGCCAAUCAGUCGCUCCUCUUUUCAGACCAGCAGCUCUUGCAGAGUGAUCUGGUGGGCUUUGUCAAGGAGUUUGCGGCCAAUCAGCAGACGUUCUUUACCGCGUUCGCCGCUGGCAUGAUCAAAAUGGGCAAGCUCUCGCCAAUCACAGGAGGGCAUGGUGAAAUUCGAUCCUCGUGCUAGUUUUUUUCCUAUACAUGUAAAUCUAUUCCUCACAUAAAAAUAUACACCACAGCCUUGACUAGAGAAAGGAAUGUUGGCAUAUCCCGUAGCUUGAUGAUGGUGGUGGAAAUUUUCUCGUCCUGCUAAAUCACUCUGGUGAGAGAUUCCAUUCUUCCCAAUCAAGAUCCCCCUUAAGCUCGGCCACUUGGCCAAUGAGCCAAGAUUUUCGCCGCGAGCCAGGGCACGUCAUCGCAGCCGCAUCGGCGAAAUUUCAAUUCCCACGGUUAGGAAUCUUCAACUCCCUGCGAAUAACGAAACCGAAGCUUUGACAAUGGCGAAGAAAGAGGCUGCACUCUUAAACCCUAACGUUAAUAUAUAUAAACCUUAGGUUUUAGACGUAUUGCCACGCAAUGGCGAAUAUUCACUGACAUAUACUUGCUUGCUGUGGAGAAAAUUUUGUGCUGCCUAGGGCUAGCUAGGCGCUGCGAUCGGCAGGAGUGAUGCGCUUGGGCGCUCGGUGUCGUCAUGUUUGAGGCUCAUGUGAGUGAUCGAUCGCUAGUUUGGGGAUUGGAGAGAUGGAUUGCAUUGGCGGACUGGAUUGAGCUCGCGAUUUUCUCCAUUUCUUGUUUCUGCAGGUCUUGUAUCUUCUUCGCAGAUACCUGGGCCAGUAUGUGCGGGGUCUCUCAGCGGAGGCGCUCCAGAUCAGUGUGUGGAAAGGUGAGAGCUAGAUUUUUUGCUCGCGAGGUGUUGAAAGUUUGGUGUUUUUUGGACAGGCGAUGUAGUGCUCAAGGACUUGCAGCUCAAGGCUGAAGCACUGAAUGCUCUGAGGCUUCCUCUCACUGUCAAAGCUGGAUUCCUUGGGUCUGUCACGUUGAAGGCAAGGCAUUGAUCAAGAAAAGUGUACCUUUGAUUCUUAUGCUUUCGUUUUUCUUAGAUUCCUUGGAACAAGCUUGGAAAAGAUCCGGUGAUUGUACUUCUCGACCGGGUUUUUGUUUUGGCGGAGCCUGUUGAAGAUGAACAGCUUUUCAAGGUAAGAUUUGGUUUUUAGCUUCAAGCGUUACGGAAACUUUCGUGAAAUGCGGUUGCAGAACGAGAACAUGGAAUCCUGGCUUGACGCUAAGCGGAGCCAGAUUGAGGUUAGUACAUACUUGCCUGUCAAGUUUAUUCUCAAACGCUUUUUGUGUCUUAAGGAGCUGGAGAUGGCAUUGCUUGAUGCGAAGGCAGGAAGAUCCGGUGAUGAUGCGGUAUGUGCCGCAAAAUGCUGUUUGAGGUUUCGUGUUAAAUUUUCUGUUUUUUGCAGUCGCCGGAAAGUAAGUCCUGGUUAGGCUCGCUCGUUGCGACGAUCAUUGGCAAUCUUAAAGUCUCCGUGACUAAUCUUCAUAUUCGUUACGAAGACACCCUCAGGUCGCGUUCAUCUCUAUCAAGCUAAAUGCUGGUACUGAUACUGGCUUCAUUUUUCAGCAACCCCUCCCAUCGAUUUUGUUUUGGCGUUACUUUAGCCAAACUUGCCGCUGUGACCAUCGACGAGAAUGAUGUAGAAACCUUCGUAACUAGCGGAGCUCUUGACAAGCUUCACAAGGUAUUUUGAUCAAUUUCGUAACGUGUACUUCAGUUUCUUUUUUCCUGCUUGCUGUGCAGUCGCUCCAGCUGGAUAGUUUUUCUAUCUACCAUGACUCGGAUACUGGGCCGUGGACUCUGGAGAAACGGUGGGAUGAGAUGACAUCCAAAGAAUGGAGCGAGGUUUGUGUUUUCUUCAAUGAAAACAGCAUUUAAAAUUAUUAUGGUUUCAGAUGUUUGAACCGAGUAUUAAAGGGAAAAUACAACACAAGUACCUGCUUCAUCCGGUUGCUGGCCUGAUGAAGUAUCACCGGUGUGGAAAGAGAGAGAAAAGGGAUUCUAAAACACCUUUUCAGAAGGCUUCUCUCGUUUUGGAUCAAGUGUCUAUUGCUGUGUCUGAGGUUGGUUUCUCUAAAUGCUACACUUGGGUUAACUUUCA